AGAGGAAGCCGGUGGAAGUCCGGCGCGGUCCCGCCACUGUCACCGGGGAGCACGCUCGGAACAUCGCCACGGCGGGCCGUCGACGGCUGCUGGAAGGCUCCGGGGGUGCGUUCGACCCGGAAGCCAGGAGACUC
Molecule: non-coding RNA, 134 nt
Filed under: Streptomyces sp.
Lineage: Bacteria; Bacillati; Actinomycetota; Actinomycetes; Kitasatosporales; Streptomycetaceae
Source: RNAcentral